AUGAACGCUGGCGGCGUGCCUAAUACAUGCAAGUCGAGCGAACAGAUGAGGAGCUUGCUCCUCUGACGUUAGCGGCGGACGGGUGAGUAACACGUGGAUAACCUACCUAUAAGACUGGGAUAACUUCGGGAAACCGGAGCUAAUACCGGAUAAUAUAUUGAACCGCAUGGUUCAAUAGUGAAAGACGGUUUUGCUGUCACUUAUAGAUGGAUCCGCGCCGCAUUAGCUAGUUGGUAAGGUAACGGCUUACCAAGGCAACGAUGCGUAGCCGACCUGAGAGGGUGAUCGGCCACACUGGAACUGAGACACGGUCCAGACUCCUACGGGAGGCAGCAGUAGGGAAUCUUCCGCAAUGGGCGAAAGCCUGACGGAGCAACGCCGCGUGAGUGAUGAAGGUCUUCGGAUCGUAAAACUCUGUUAUUAGGGAAGAACAAAUGUGUAAGUAACUAUGCACGCCUUGACGGUACCUAAUCAGAAAGCCACGGCUAACUACGUG
RNAcentral lists this ribosomal RNA (496 nucleotides) under uncultured bacterium. RNAcentral describes it as "partial 16S ribosomal RNA". It matches the Rfam family "Bacterial small subunit ribosomal RNA", at positions 29 to 507 of the family's 1533-position model. The record is from RNAcentral.